AAGCGGUGGCUCCACUGGAGGAAAACACACCCCGGUCUCACAUUAAAGAAGCCAAACUGUCGGCUUCAAAGAGAAAAGGCAACAUCCUGUCACAGGCCAUGCUCUGGCAAAAACGUUGGUGUGAAAGGUACCGACUGCAAGUUUCAACUUGUAAAAACACUUGGCCGUUGGGCUCCUUUGGAAUCGUCUUGAGGCUUCAGAUUCUGAUAUUUCAUGAGCACUGCAAAGUCACUAUGAGAAGCACCCUCCCUCUUACCUGCUCAGUUGGAGUCAGUUACAGGAUUCCUUGGCAACUGGCUGUGGACACGUGCCGGGCAGUCAGGAGACCCUUGGGAGCUGUGGGAGUCCUGCAACGGCAAUAGGAAGAGGUGGGGACUUAGAGAUUGCUCCACAUAUGGUCUGUUGUGGCAGGGCACACCUGUUGACACUGAGUUCCAAGGAAGUCCAGAAAUUAGAGGGUGAUACUCUCUGUCCACAACACCUCCACCAAGCACUCUUUGUUCAUUGACUUAGAAACAGUAGGAGGUGGGAAGCCCUUUCUUGACAAGAUCCUGGAAGUGCCCAGCUGGUCCCUUU
RNAcentral lists this small RNA (576 nucleotides) under Pongo abelii (Sumatran orangutan). RNAcentral's name for it is "processed transcript". The record is from RNAcentral. Lineage: Eukaryota; Metazoa; Chordata; Mammalia; Primates; Hominidae.